CAUCCGCUAUGAGAUGGACCCGCGGCGCAUUAGCUAGUUGGUGGGGUAACGGCCUACCAAGGCGACGAUGCGUAGCCGACCUGAGAGGGUGAUCGGCCACAUUGGGACUGAGACACGGCCCAGACUCCUACGGGAGGCAGCAGUGGGGAAUAUUGCACAAUGGGGGAAACCCUGAUGCAGCAACGCCGCGUGAGUGAUGAAGGUUUUCGGAUCGUAAAGCUCUGUCUUUGGGGAAGAUAAUGACGGUACCCAAGGAGGAAGCCACGGCUAACUACGUGCCAGCAGCCGCGGUAAUACGUAGGUGGCGAGCGUUAUCCGGAUUUACUGGGCGUAAAGGGAGCGUAGGCGGAUGAUUAAGUGGGAUGUGAAAUACCCGGGCUCAACUUGGGUGCUGCAUUCCAAACUGGUUAUCUAGAGUGCAGGAGAGGAGAGUGGAAUUCCUAGUGUAGCGGUGAAAUGCG
This 461-nucleotide ribosomal RNA is filed under the name Clostridium perfringens. RNAcentral's name for it is "bacterial SSU rRNA". It matches the Rfam family "Bacterial small subunit ribosomal RNA", at positions 212 to 690 of the family's 1533-position model. Lineage: Bacteria; Bacillati; Bacillota; Clostridia; Eubacteriales; Clostridiaceae. The record is from RNAcentral.